GUGCUGUUAGUGGAAGAGUACAUUUUCAUUGAUCCAUUCGUGGUACGGAAGCAAGGAACGUACGAAUUUACGAAUCCUAAUCGUGAUAUUAACUUCGUAUUCACUGUAUUUCAAAUCAAAGUUACGAUUAAACAAAUUUCCCUUUUGAAUAAUUCUUACCAUGGAUCGUUCGAAAACGUUAUGGUGGAGAAGUGAGAGGAAAGCUAAGAAAUGGGCUCAAUCAAAGGUUCAUACAGAAGAAGCGUAUACCGCAAUUGUCAUUGGGUGAGUACGGAUUUGUAGUUGCGAUAGUCUCUCGCGCAGGUUAGUUGAACGUGGUGGGUGGUCAGACAGAGGGGUGGUUCGUGUAACGAGUCGCGAAUGGUGCGGAUAUAUAGUGGGGCGCCUCGAAACUAGUUCCUGUCGAGUCCGCUGCGCGAGAUUGGCGCGUGGCGGUGCAAUAACGUCCGCGUCGGGUUUGUCUAAUCGUGACACAGUCCUCGAGAGAAGCUUUUCAGCCGAUAAAAGUGUGCGUCAGACACGGAGUGUUUUAAGAGACUCAGACUCAGUGUUAACGGGGAACUGGUGGAUGGUGGUGAAUUCCCGUGGCCAGAUUAGCUGGAUAAAAAGCAAAGAUUGAAACAAAGGAACGCGGAUGAGCAAAACGUCGACAAAACGGGAGACAGUGCUAGUGGCGACUAAGUGAACGAGAUAGAGUCUACGGGAAGAAAGAGAGAGAAAGAGAUAUAAACGAGUAGGGGGGAUAUAUAGGGAUGAAGAAAGAGUGAGAAAGUGCUAGGUAGGAGGUAUAAGUGAUAGAGGGAAACAGAAGGGGGAAUAAGAAAGAAAGAGAGGGAGGGGUAACGAUAGAGACAGACGGACGGGUGUUAGAAAGAGAGAGAAGGCGCGCGCGCGCGUCUAUGUGCCAGAAGGAACUGACAGAUAAAGGAAGUGGAAAGGACCUGGUCGGUCCUUCGGUAAGGAAAGCUAAGGGUACGAAGGACGGCAGGAAGGCAGGAAAGACGGAAGGAUCGUAGUCAGACGAAGCUGUGUUACGGGGUGACAGCGGUGCGAGUAGUAGAACGCGUCGGGUCUGUCCCCCAGGAAGGGACCGUCGCGCGCAACGCGAUCAAUUUUCGUUGCGACGCGGGCGGUGAGACUGGAGGAAAGGAAGAAAUGACGACUGCAGCGAGAUACCGAUAACCGGCCAGAUAAUGUUGUCGCAGAGCAAGUUUUACGCUCUCUUUAUCCACUACACAUUUGUGUAGCGCGACACGGGGCGGGUCCUUGCCGCUGCGGUGAAGAACAGAGGUGUCGGAAGAGGAGGUGGAGGCGCGAGGAGAACAAAAGAGACGAAGAAGAAGGAAGAAGAAAAAGUGGAAGAACGAAAAUUAGGAAAGGAACGAAGAAAUUCGUUGGAAUUCCUGAAAAGUCUAAAAAGAUAUCCGAGAAACUAGGAUACGUUUCAUUGUCUAUCGUCUAUAAUCGUUGCGAAAAGAAACAGAAACAAGGAAAGAACGGAGGAAAGAAGAGAGAAAAAGAAGAGAAUAAGAGAAAGAGACACACAUAAACACACACGCACGUAUACGGAAAAGACAGAAAAGUUUGUCGAUGUACGGUGUGUGUUCAGUUUACAGUGUCGUUGCUUGGUAGUGUGCUCUACCCUUGCCGAAGUUGAAUAAGUAAGGCCCGCGGAGGUAUCUCAGAACCCGCCCCUCCUCGACGUCGCAGUGCCUCUUUUCCAUAUCGCUACGUCGUGCUUUUUUUCGUUCAAGCUACGACUAUCCCUACAUUACCGGAGAAACUCCUCGACUAUAAGUAUCGAUCGACUCGAAGAUCAGACUAUGUUAUAUCGAAUAACGGAUUGAUCGCACCCGUCGCUUCAUUCACACGUCGGACAUGAAAAAUCUUGGUUCGCGUUGGACGGUCCCCGACAUAGCACGCACUGCCGCAGCGCGUUCGUCAUUUCUCGUCGCCAUUUCGUCGGAACGAGAUUCAGGUAGCAGCAGCAGCAACAGCAUCAUCAUCAACGAUAGCAGCAGCAACAUCAGAAGCAGAAGUAUUAGCGUGAAAGUGAAAAGGAGCAACGUUAGAAGUAGCGGUAGUGGAAUCAACAGGGAAAGUAUCAACGGUAGAGGCAGAGUCACGGCGAUCGAAAAGUAUAAGAGGGGAACGAGGGGAAACGGUAGAUCGGCAGUCGACGUGCUGCACGAGUCGAAUUUAUCCGUCCGAUCGUACGUAACGGCGUCGUCAAAUCGGUUCGACGGCACGACGCGUCCCGAAUCGACGACCAGGUACCGGCCACUAGCCGGCAAGUCGCGCGGUUCUCAGCACCGGUCUCGUCCUCGUCAGCCGCAGCCGCAGCCACCGCAGCAGCCACUCUAUUACCCCCCCGCAUCGUGGGACACGCGCACAUUACACUUCAGGAACUGUUAGCACCGAUCAAAAGAAGGUGGCUCAGCUGUGUGCAGCUUAGACAAUGUCCGAAGAUUCUGACUCUGUAUCAGAGGAAGAAAGAAGUUUGUUCCGUCCGUUCACGCGGGAGUCCCUGGCAGCGAUCGAGGCUCGCAUCGCCGAGGAACAUGCCAAGCAGAAGGAGCUCGAGAAGAAGAGAGCGGAAGGCGAGGUUCGAUAUGACGACGAGGACGAGGACGAGGGUCCUCAGCCGGAUCCGAUGCUCGAACAAGGAGCACCGAUCCCGGUCCGACUGCACAACGAAUUUCCACCCGAGUUGGCCUCCACACCUCUCGAGGAUAUCGAUAGCUUCUAUCAUAAUCAAAGGACCUUCGUCGUCAUCAGCAAGGGGAAGGACAUAUUCAGGUUCUCAGCGACAGAUGCGAUGUGGAUCCUCGACCCGUUCAAUCCGAUACGACGAGUGGCCAUUUAUAUAUUGGUUCACCCACUGUUCUCCCUCUUCAUUAUCACUACAAUAUUGGUUAACUGCAUACUCAUGAUCAUGCCCACUACGCCCACCAUCGAGUCUACGGAGUCUGAAAACCAUUGUCGGCGCUGUGAUAGAAUCCGUGAAGAACCUGCGCGAUGUGAUAAUCUUGACGAUGUUCUCUCUUUCCGUCUUUGCGCUGAUGGGCCUCCAGAUUUAUAUGGGGGUGCUCACGCAAAAGUGUAUAAAGAACUUUCCCGAGGACGGCUCCUGGGGCAAUCUGACCGAUGAAAACUGGGAGCGAUUCGUUAGUAAUGAAACUAAUUGGUACGUGGACGAGGCGAAAAACAUGCCUUUGUGUGGAAAUUCAUCUGGAGCAGGGCAGUGCCUUCCUGGUUACACGUGUUUACAAGGAUACGGUGAAAAUCCGAAUUACGGUUACACGAGUUUCGACACCUUCGGCUGGGCUUUAUUAUCCGCCUUUCGUCUGAUGACGCAAGAUUAUUGGGAAAAUCUGUACCAGUUAGUGCUUAGAUCGGCCGGCCCAUGGCAUAUGUUGUUCUUCAUCGUGAUCAUUUUUCUUGGCUCGUUUUAUCUCGUCAACUUGAUUCUUGCUAUUGUCGCGAUGUCUUACGAUGAAUUGCAGAAGAAAGCUGAGGAAGAGGA
This 3526-nucleotide unclassified non-coding RNA is filed under the name Apis dorsata (giant honeybee). RNAcentral's name for it is "sodium channel protein para, transcript variant X32". The record is from RNAcentral. Lineage: Eukaryota; Metazoa; Arthropoda; Insecta; Hymenoptera; Apidae.